RNAcentral lists this ribosomal RNA (478 nucleotides) under uncultured bacterium. RNAcentral's name for it is "partial 16S ribosomal RNA". It matches the Rfam family "Bacterial small subunit ribosomal RNA", at positions 28 to 507 of the family's 1533-position model. The record is from RNAcentral.
GAUGAACGCUGGCGGCGUGCUUAACACAUGCAAGUCGAACGGGAAUUCUUUUAUUGCCCCUUCGGUCGAUUUCAUUUAAUUCUAGUGGCGGACGGGUGAGUAACGCGUGGGUAACCUGCCUUAUACAGGGGGAUAACAGUCAGAAAUGGCUGCUAAUACCGCAUAAGCGCACAGAGCUGCAUGGCUCAGUGUGCAAAACUCCGGUGGUAUAAGAUGGACCCGCGUUGGAUUAGCUUGUUGGCAGGGUAACGGCCUACCAAGGCGACGAUCCAUAGCCGGCCUGAGAGGGUGAACGGCCACAUUGGGACUGAGACACGGCCCAGACUCCUACGGGAGGCAGCAGUGGGGAAUAUUGCACAAUGGGGGAAACCCUGAUGCAGCGACGCCGCGUGAAGGAAGAAGUAUCUCGGUAUGUAAACUUCUAUCAGCAGGGAAGAUAGUGACGGUACCUGACGAAGAAGCCCCGGCUAACUACGUG